GGGACCGUGGGGUAGCUUGGCAUCCUUCGGCCCUUGGGUGGCCGUCACCCGUGUUCGAAUCACGGCGGUCCCA
Molecule: transfer RNA, 73 nt
Filed under: Halarchaeum acidiphilum MH1-52-1
Lineage: Archaea; Methanobacteriati; Methanobacteriota; Halobacteria; Halobacteriales; Halobacteriaceae
Description: tRNA-Pro
Source: RNAcentral